UAGGGAAUCUUCCACAAUGGGCGAAAGCCUGAUGGAGCAACGCCGCGUGCGUGAUGAAGGGUUUCGGCUCGUAAAACACUGUUGUAAGAGAAGAAUGACAUUGAGAGUAACUGUUCAAUGUGUGACGGUAUCUUACCAGAAAGGAACGGCUAAAUACGUGCCA
Molecule: ribosomal RNA, 163 nt
Filed under: uncultured bacterium
Lineage: Bacteria
Description: partial 16S rRNA
Rfam family: Bacterial small subunit ribosomal RNA
Source: RNAcentral